UUUUUUUAUUUUAGAUAUAGUACUGUAGUAGGAGUGCCAUAGUUUUUUAGCAUUCAUAUCAUGUACAGGCCAGAGAGAAAACAGUGCCUUGUACUUGUAAAGGCCAGUUAUCUUUCUGUGAUCACCUAAACCAUUCCUAGCAACUCCCUUGUGUAGUCUUCAUUUUCUGCUUAUUAUUUUAAUCGUAGUGAACAGCAUAUUCAGGAAGUGUAGUCCCAAACUAUUUCACUAAUGUUCUUAUCAUCUUAAUCACGAAUAUUGCUGAAAAACACUUUGCUGUUCCUCGCCUGCUUUGGAUUACGGAUGCUAUUAAACGGCUCCAAAUCACCAGCAUGUCUAUCUUUGUCACAGACAUCUUCCUCUGCCUUGUAAAUUGCUUACAAACUUCCUGAACUUUUUCAUUAUUGUUUGUCAUCUCAGGAGAUUUACGUACUUAACAGUAUUCCAGUUCUACAUUUUUAAGUAUUAUUUGAGAUUAAUGACCUCUAAUAUGACUCCAUUAAGAGUUUUGAUCUGGCUUGCAAUUCACAUUUUACUGUAUAAUGAAAGGAAUGAAGAACAGCACAAAAUACUGUUGACUGUGUAAUUUUCCCUGCUAAUUUAAGACAACAGGAAUUGUUAAUCUGGUAAAUCAGGUUUUGUUUGUGCCUUUCAACAGUUACGUGUUAAAAUCAAUAUCUCUAUUAGCAUUUGACUCCAAAUAGAAUUUAAAAUGUAUUGGAUAGCUCUUGUUUAUAGCCAUUGCUCAGAAACAGUUCGCAUAUUUUGUUUUAGUAUACCUGUUUAGACAAACACUUAUUACUCUCACUGGCCAUUUUUUUUUAAAUGAAUCCAUCAAUUUAAAUACCUUUAAAUACACUUGAGAAAAAGAAUAAAAAAUAAUGACUUGUGUGGGAAUGAAAAACAAGACGCACACACACAGUCCUGUGGCGAUUUCUGCAAGUCACAGCACACAGUCCUGCUCGGAGAACAUUAUACUUCUCACCCUCAUCUCUUUUUCCUCAAAUUGUGAGGUACGGCGUUACGGAGCCCUGUGCAGCCAAGUGGUCAAUAACCUCUGAAGGCUGAAUUUGCCAGUCCAUUUCAGCUGCUUUGUGAUGGUCCAGCAGAGCAAGCACGAAUGGAGAUUGCCUUACUAUAUUGUUAUAGCACUUCCCCUCAGCAUAGAGGGGACAAGGGAAAAGUAGCCCAGCCUUAGUUUAAAGGUGGAGCAACCAAGCACCCUGGACACCAAGCAACAUUCCAUACAGGACGCUUCAAAUAUCUGAGAGGAAAGGAGGAA
Long non-coding RNA from Gymnogyps californianus (California condor), 1282 nucleotides. RefSeq lists it as uncharacterized. The record is from RefSeq and is a predicted model, not a curated record. NCBI's taxonomy places the organism in Eukaryota, Metazoa, Chordata, Aves, Accipitriformes, Cathartidae. The transcript is spliced from 3 exons.